This 26-nucleotide ribosomal RNA is filed under the name Saccharum sinense. The record is from RNAcentral. Lineage: Eukaryota; Viridiplantae; Streptophyta; Magnoliopsida; Poales; Poaceae. RNAcentral also lists the same sequence under 1 other name.
UUGGGAAGUCCUUGUGUUGCAUUCCC